Molecule: ribosomal RNA, 111 nt
Filed under: uncultured eukaryote
Lineage: Eukaryota
Description: partial small subunit ribosomal RNA
Rfam family: Eukaryotic small subunit ribosomal RNA
Source: RNAcentral
GUCGCACCUACCGAUUGAAUGGUCCGGUGAAGACUCGGGAUUGUGGUCUGGCUCCUUCAUUGGGGCCAGACCGUGAGAACUUGUCUGAACCUUAUCAUUUAGAGGAAGGUG